Long non-coding RNA from Octopus sinensis (East Asian common octopus), 177 nucleotides. RefSeq lists it as uncharacterized. The transcript has 3 exons. The record is from RefSeq and is a predicted model, not a curated record. NCBI's taxonomy places the organism in Eukaryota, Metazoa, Mollusca, Cephalopoda, Octopoda, Octopodidae.
ACCCACUACAAUCUCGGAGAAGUUCGCGCCAGGAAGGGCAUCCAACUAUAGAAACCUUGUCAGAUCAGAUUGGAGCCCGGUACAGCCUCCCAGCCUGUCAGUUCUCAGUCAAGCCGUCCAACCCAUACCAGCAUGGAAAGUGGACGUUAAACGAUGAUGAUGAUAUACAUACACACA